AAGCAUAAACUAGUCUCAAGCCGUGGUUACUGUUUGAGGAUUGGUGUCGCCAGAUGGUGAAGAUGUUACUAUGAGGAGUUUAUCAUCAUGAUGUCAGAUCAAUGAUAUUCCCCAGUAGUGUGAUAUUGGAGGAAGAGUUUCUGUCGGGCAGAGAUGGAAAUAAUAAAAAAAAUCAAGAGAAGUUUCGGGGUUCAAGAAAAGUAAAAAAAAGAGAAAG
RNAcentral lists this long non-coding RNA (217 nucleotides) under Lathyrus oleraceus (garden pea). Its description in RNAcentral is "Pisum sativum (pea) long non-coding RNA (PSAT_LNC002513)". The record is from RNAcentral. Lineage: Eukaryota; Viridiplantae; Streptophyta; Magnoliopsida; Fabales; Fabaceae.